AGCUUACUAGCUAGUCCCCCUAAUCAAAAGCAACUAUCCACAUAAAUAACCCCCAAUACACGCAACUUGCAUUAAACAAAACAUUUUUCCCCUCCAGUAUAGGUGAUAGAAAAAGGACUCGGAACAACAGAGAAAGUACCGCAAGGGAAUGCUGAAAAAGAAAUGAAACAACUCAGUGAAGCCUGAAAAAGCAGAGAUUUUAACUCGUACCUUUUGCAUCAUGAUUUGGCCAGUAAUAAUCGAGCAAAGAGCACUUUAGUUCGACCCCCCGAAACUAAGUGAGCUACUCCAAGACAACCUAUAAUUAGGGUGAACCCGUCUCUGUUGCAAAAGAGUGGGAAGAGCUUCGAGUAGCGGUGACAGACCUAUCGAACUUAGUAAUAGCUGGUUGCCUGAGAACUGGAUAGGAGUUCAGCCUCCCGGAUUCUCCACUCAUUGUACUUUUAGUACCUGCACGACAUCUAAAGAAGCCGGAAGAGUUAAUCAAAGGGGGUACAGCCCCUUUGAUACAAGACACAACUUUCCCAGGAGGAUAAAGAUCAUAAUUUAAACAAGGCAAAGUGUUUUAGUGGGCUUGAAAGCAGCCACCUCAAUAGAAAGCGUUAAAGAUCAAACAUUCCCCUCGCCUUAUAUCUCGAUAAUUUAAUCUUAAUCCCCUAACCCUACCAGGCCGUUCCAUGCAGUCAUGGAAGAGAUUAUGCUAAUAUGAGUAAUAAGAGAACAUCCAAUUCUCUCCCGUCACAAGUGUAAAUCGGAACGGACCUACCACCGAAUCUUAACGGCCCCAAACAAAGAGGGAAAUGAAUUACUAGUCUGGAUACUCUGGAAAAACAUUCAAUCAAACGCCGUUGACCCUACACUGGAGUGUUCCCUGGGAAAGACUAAAAGAAAAAGAAGGAACUCGGCAAACCCGAGCCUCGCCUGUUUACCAAAAACACCGCCUCUUGCAAAAUUAACGAAUAAGAGGUCCCGCCUGCCCUGUGACUAUGCGUUUAACGGCCGCGGUAUCCUAACCGUGCGAAGGUAGCGUAAUCAUUUGUCUUUUAAAUGAAGACCUGUAUGAAUGGCAUAACGAGGGCUCAACUGUCUCCUUUUUCCAGUCAAUGAAAUUGAUCUUCCCGUGCAGAAGCGGGAAUACUAACAUAAGACGAGAAGACCCUAUGGAGCUUUAGAUAAUAAGACAGAUCAUGUCAAGCACCCUUACAAAAAAGGCUAAACUAAUUGAGUACUGUCCGAAUAUCUUUGGUUGGGGCGACCGCGGCGAAACAAAAAACCCCCGCGUGGAAACGAGGGAACCACCCUCCAAGCCAAGAGCUCCCGCUCUAAUAAACAGAACAUCUGACCUAUAAAGAUCCGGCAACGCCGAUCGACGGACCGAGUUACCCUAGGGAUAACAGCGCAAUCCCCUUCUAGAGCCCAUAUCGACAAGGGGGUUUACGACCUCGAUGUUGGAUCAGGACAUCCUAAUGGUGCAGCAGCUAUUAAGGGUUCGUUUGUUCAACGAUUAAAGUCCUACGUGAUCUGAGUUCAGACCGGAGUAAUCCAGGUCAGUUUCUAUCUAUGAUAUGAUCUUUCCUAGUACGAAAGGACCGAAGAGAAGAGGCCCAUGCUCCAAGUACGCCUCCCCCUAACCUGCUGAAAAUAACUAAAAAAGACAAUAGGGCAUACUCCAGCUAUGGCUAAGAAAAUGCCGU
Molecule: ribosomal RNA, 1694 nt
Filed under: Forcipiger flavissimus
Lineage: Eukaryota; Metazoa; Chordata; Actinopteri; Chaetodontiformes; Chaetodontidae
Description: 16S ribosomal RNA
Rfam family: Bacterial large subunit ribosomal RNA
Source: RNAcentral